UCAAAAGUCAAGUCGGCAGCUGUAUGGCUGUCGUCUUCCACCCAUGUCUUUUGUGUACUCUUGUUUCCUCGGCGGCGCAAGCCGCCGAUUGGACAAAACUCAAAACCUUUUUGUAAUUGCAAUCAGCGUCUGAAAAUAUAAUAAUAUUUA
RNAcentral lists this unclassified non-coding RNA (150 nucleotides) under uncultured Ascomycota. RNAcentral describes it as "sequence contains ITS1". The record is from RNAcentral. Lineage: Eukaryota; Fungi; Ascomycota.